GCCAGGCAUGGUGGCGUGUGCCUGUAGUCCCAGCUACUCAGGAGGCUGAGGUGGGAGAAUCGCUUGAGCCCGGGAGGCGGAGGUUGCAGUGAGCCAAGAUCGCACCACUGCACUCUAGCCUGGGCAACAGAGCAAUAUUCCGUCUCAA
This is an unclassified non-coding RNA of Pongo abelii (Sumatran orangutan), 148 nucleotides long. It matches the Rfam family "Metazoan signal recognition particle RNA". From Rfam's summary of the family: The signal recognition particle (SRP) is a universally conserved ribonucleoprotein. The record is from Ensembl. Lineage: Eukaryota; Metazoa; Chordata; Mammalia; Primates; Hominidae.